RNAcentral lists this ribosomal RNA (660 nucleotides) under uncultured bacterium. RNAcentral's name for it is "bacterial SSU rRNA". It matches the Rfam family "Bacterial small subunit ribosomal RNA", at positions 94 to 788 of the family's 1533-position model. The record is from RNAcentral.
AGUGGCGGACGGGUGAGUAACGCGUGAGAAUCUGCCUUGGGGUCGGGGACAACCACUGGAAACGGUGGCUAAUACCGGAUAAGCCGAUUGGUGAAAGAUUUAUUGCCCGAAGAGGAGCUCGCGUCUGAUUAGCUAGUUGGUGAGGUAAGAGCUCACCAAGGCAGCGAUCAGUAGCUGGUCUGAGAGGACGAUCAGCCACACUGGGACUGAGACACGGCCCAGACUCCUACGGGAGGCAGCAGUGGGGAAUUUUCCGCAAUGGGCGAAAGCCUGACGGAGCAAGACCGCGUGAGGGAGGAAGGCUCUUGGGUUGUAAACCUCUUUUCUCAGGGAAGAAGCUCUGACGGUACCUGAGGAAUCAGCCUCGGCUAACUCCGUGCCAGCAGCCGCGGUAAUACGGAGGAGGCAAGCGUUAUCCGGAAUUAUUGGGCGUAAAGCGUCCGCAGGUGGCGAUUCAAGUCUGCUGUCAAAGCACGGGGCUUAACUCCGUAAAGGCAGUGGAAACUGAAUAGCUAGAGUGCCGCAGGGGUAGAGGGAAUUCCCGGUGUAGCGGUGAAAUGCGUAGAGAUCGGGAAGAACAUCGGUGGCGAAAGCGCUCUACUGGACGGCAACUGACACUCAGGGACGAAAGCUAGGGGAGCGAAUGGGAUUAGAUACCCC